CGGGUGAGUAACACGUGGAUAACCUACCUAUAAGACUGGGAUAACUUCGGGAAACCGGAGCUAAUACCGGAUAAUAUAUUGAACCGCAUGGUUCAAUAGUGAAAGACGGUUUUGCUGUCACUUAUAGAUGGAUCCGCGCCGCAUUAGCUAGUUGGUAAGGUAACAGCUUACCAAGGCAACGAUGCGUAGCCGACCUGAGAGGGUGAUCGGCCACACUGGAACUGAGACAGGUCCAG
This 236-nucleotide ribosomal RNA is filed under the name uncultured Staphylococcus sp. RNAcentral describes it as "partial 16S ribosomal RNA". It matches the Rfam family "Bacterial small subunit ribosomal RNA", at positions 103 to 334 of the family's 1533-position model. Lineage: Bacteria; Bacillati; Bacillota; Bacilli; Caryophanales; Staphylococcaceae. The record is from RNAcentral.